ACCAAUAAAACGAAUAAAAAGUAAAUAAAAAAAUCAAUAAAAUAUGAAUGUAAGUGACUAUCUUAUUAUUCUCUUUAUUAUUUCCUUCCUCCUCAACUUUUUUUUUAUAUACCGCGCGUGUUUUUUUCCUCUCUCUU
Molecule: non-coding RNA, 137 nt
Filed under: Heterosigma akashiwo
Lineage: Eukaryota; Raphidophyceae; Chattonellales; Chattonellaceae
Source: RNAcentral